GACGUAGGAUGCAAGCGUUGUCCGGAAUUAUUGGGCGUAAAGAGCUCGUAGGCGGUCUGUUGCGUCGGCUGUGAAAACCCGGGGCUCAACCCCGGGCCUGCAGCCGAUACGGGCAGACUAGAGUUCGGCAGGGGAGACUGGAAUUCCUGGUGUAGCGGUGAAAUGCGCAGAUAUCAGGAGGAACACCGGUGGCGAAGGCGGGUCUCUGGGCCGAUACUGACGCUGAGGAGCGAAAGCGUGGGGAGCGAACAGG
This 253-nucleotide ribosomal RNA is filed under the name uncultured bacterium. RNAcentral's name for it is "partial 16S ribosomal RNA". It matches the Rfam family "Bacterial small subunit ribosomal RNA", at positions 524 to 776 of the family's 1533-position model. The record is from RNAcentral.